UACGGAGGGUGCAAGCGUUAUCCGGAUUCACUGGGUUUAAAGGGUGCGUAGGUGGGCAAGUAAGUCAGUGGUGAAAUCUCUGGGCUUAACCCAGAAAUUGCCAUUGAUACUGUAGGGCUUGAGUACAGUUGCUGUGGGCGGAAUAUGACAUGUAGUGGUGAAAUACAUAGAGAUGUCAUAGAACACCGAUUGCGAAGGCAGCUCACAAAACUGUAACUGACACUGAGGCUCGAAAGUGCGGGGAUCAAACAGG
RNAcentral lists this ribosomal RNA (253 nucleotides) under uncultured bacterium. Its description in RNAcentral is "partial 16S ribosomal RNA". It matches the Rfam family "Bacterial small subunit ribosomal RNA", at positions 524 to 776 of the family's 1533-position model. The record is from RNAcentral.